AGCGAACGCUGGCAGCAGGCCUAACACAUGCAAGUCGAACGAACCUUUCGGGGUUAGUGGCGGACGGGUGAGUAACACGUGGGAACGUGCCUUUAGGUUCGGAAUAACUCAGGGAAACUUGUGCUAAUACCGAAUGUGCCCUUCGGGGGAAAGAUUAAUCGCCUUUAGAGCGGCCCGCGUCUGAUUAGCUAGUUGGUUGAGGUAAUGGCUCACCAAGGCGACGAUCAGUAGCUGGUCUGAGAGGAUGAUCAGCCACAUUGGGACUGAGACACGGCCCAAACUCCUACGGGAGGCAGCAGUGGGGAAUCUUGCGCAAUGGGCGAAAGCCUGACGCAGCCAUGCCGCGUGAAUGAUGAAGGUCUUAGGAUUGUAAAAUUCUUUCACCGGGGACGAUAAUGACGGUACCCGGAGAAGAAGCCCCGGCUAACUUCGU
RNAcentral lists this ribosomal RNA (433 nucleotides) under uncultured bacterium. RNAcentral describes it as "partial 16S ribosomal RNA". It matches the Rfam family "Bacterial small subunit ribosomal RNA", at positions 29 to 506 of the family's 1533-position model. The record is from RNAcentral.